UGGGGAAUAUUGGACAAUGGGCGAAAGCCUGAUCCAGCCAUGCCGCGUGAGUGAUGAAGGCUUUAGGGUUGUAAAGCUCUUUCGCCGAUGAAGAUAAUGACGGUAGUCGGAGAAGAAGCCCCGGCUAACUUCGUGCCAGCAGCCGCGGUAAUACGAAGGGGGCUAGCGUUGUUCGGAAUUACUGGGCGUAAAGCGAGCGUAGGUUGUAUGGCAAGUCAGUGGUGAAAUCCCGGAGCUUAACUUCGGAACU
This 250-nucleotide ribosomal RNA is filed under the name uncultured bacterium. Its description in RNAcentral is "partial 16S ribosomal RNA". It matches the Rfam family "Bacterial small subunit ribosomal RNA", at positions 355 to 622 of the family's 1533-position model. The record is from RNAcentral.